Molecule: long non-coding RNA, 582 nt
Organism: Zea mays
Lineage: Eukaryota; Viridiplantae; Streptophyta; Magnoliopsida; Poales; Poaceae
Exons: 2
Source: RefSeq, a predicted model, not a curated record
AUUGAGCUUGACUUGACCACCUGACUCUUCACAUAUGAAAACCAUGCUGGUGCGUCUUGUAGGUAUCGUGUUUUAGAUAGCGUGUACCUUGUACGAAAAAAAGGCACACAGUGUUUUUUCUUUUGUCUAAUAAUUGAGGCCCAUGAUAACUUAAGAUCUGGCCCAAGACUGUUAUCCCUGCUAGGGUUAAUCCACUGGCUCUCCUAUAUAGAAGCGCGGCGAGAGCUCGCACCGCCGCCGCCGCCGCUGUCGCAUCACAGGCCUCUCUUCCGGUUUCCCCCCAAACCCGUCCGAGAGGCAGUCAUCCCGCCGCGAUGAGGGCCAAGUGGAAGAAGAAGCGGAUGAGGCGGCUUAAGAGGAAGCGCCGAAAGAUGAGGCAGAGGUCCAAGUAGGCAGAUUCAUGGAGUGUCCCCGCCUGGAGUCUCUCUGCGUUCGGUUGUUGUUUACUGAGUAAUUUUAGUUUUUUUACUAAGACAGUCUGUUAUGGAUCAGAAAUUCCUUGCGUUUGUCCGUGGUCUAGAUAUUGCAUCAAGUGUUCUGCACUUUAUUCUUUAGUUGUUAGUUGAUGCGAGUGCUUGUCAA